This 1437-nucleotide ribosomal RNA is filed under the name Triticum aestivum (bread wheat). Its description in RNAcentral is "partial small subunit ribosomal RNA". Lineage: Eukaryota; Viridiplantae; Streptophyta; Magnoliopsida; Poales; Poaceae. The record is from RNAcentral.
AUGGGCGGUCUUGGCCGGGUCGGGGCUCUGGGCAAGGUACAAGAACCCGAACGACCCAAUGAUGGCGCCCACCUUCCCCGACGCCGCCGAUAUGCCGUGGCACGUCGCGCGGAGCCUCGCGGGGUAGAUCUCUGCGGGGACGAUGAAGGUGGUGGCGUUGGGCCCGAAGUUGGCGAAGAAGAAGGUGAGCGCGUACAUGACGACGAAGCCGGCCUGGUGGCCCUGGCCCGUCCAGUAGUCGUAGGGCACGGCCAGGCCCACCAUGAAGGUGGUCAUCAUGAAGAAGCCCAUGAGCUGGAUCUUGAACCGGCCGACGGAGUCGAUGAAGGCGACGGUGAACCAGUAGCCCGGCACGGUGCCGCAGAGCGCGAUCAGGAUCUGGGCCCGUGCGAUGUGGAACAGCUCGUCCAGCGCGCUCAUCGUCGGCGCCGGCGGGAUCCACCCGAUGGCGCUGAAGAUGUCCUUCUGGAACAGGUUCUGCGAGUAGUAGGCGAUGUCCAGGAGGAGCCACGUGGACGCGGUGCCGACGAGGUGGAGCCCGUGCCGCCGCACGAACUCCCCGGAGAAGAGGCCGAACGACGGCGGCGGCGUGUGGGACUUGAUGGUAAUCACGGUCUCCAGAUCGCCGGCCUGCUCCUUGGUGAUCUCCACCUGGAGCACCUUGGACAUGUCGGCCGCGGCGCGCUCGGCGUUCUUGGCGAUGAGCGCCGUGUACCGCGCCGUCUCCGGCAUCUUCAUCCGCCAGUAGAAGGUGAGCGCGGCGGGGAGGGCGCCGAGCAUGAGGACGAUGCGCCACACGUAGUCCGCUUGCGCCGGGGUGGACGCCGCGGGGUCCGCCGCGUACGGCGGCGCCGGGAACAGGUCCCUGAACAGCGCCGUGAUCCCGAUCGCCACGCCGCCGCCGGCGAGGAUGCCGAACCCCUGCAUCGCGAAGACGGCGGCGAUGAAGGCGCCGCGCGUCCGCUUGUUGGCGUACUCGGACAUGAUGGUGGCGGAGAGCGGGUAGUCGCCGCCGAUGCCGAAGCCGAGCCAGAACCUGAAGAAGCAGAGCGUGGCCAUGACGCUGGUGGGCGUGUUGCCGAAGGAGAGCCCCGACGCGACAGAGCAGAGGAUCAUCAGCAUCAGCGUCAUGCCGUACACGCUUUUCCGGCCGACCUUGUCACCCAGCCAGCCGAAGAAGAGCUGGCCGGAGAGCGUGCCGACGAAGGCCACGCCGUUGACGACCGCGGAGACGGUCGGCGGGAGGCUGCCCGGGCGGGACGAGCCCGGGACGGUGUAGUAGAUGCGGCCGAUGAGCUUGGUGACGAGGGAGAUGCAGAAGAGGUCGUAGGCGUCGGUGAAGAAGCCCAUGCCGGCGACGAUGAUGGCCGUGAAGUGGUACCACUGCGUCUUGGCGCCGUCCAGCGCCGAGAGCACGUGCACCUGGUCGCCCGCCAU